AUCCAGCUGAGGAGUCUCAAGUAGAACGAAACGCACGUCAAACUGGAU
RNAcentral lists this non-coding RNA (48 nucleotides) under Schistosoma curassoni. The record is from RNAcentral. Lineage: Eukaryota; Metazoa; Platyhelminthes; Trematoda; Strigeidida; Schistosomatidae.